GAUGAACGCUGGCGGCGUGCCUAACACAUGCAAGUCGAGCGAACGGACGAGAAGCUUGCUUCCCUGAUGUUAGCGGCGGACGGCUGAGUAACACGUGGAUAACCUACCUAUAAUACUGGGAUAACUUCGGGACACCGGAGCUAAUACCGGAUAAUAUUUCGAACCGCAUGGUUCAAAAGUGAAAGACGGUCUUGCUGUCACUUAUAGGUGGAUCUGCGCUGCAUUAGCUAGCUGGUAAGGUAACGGCGUACCAAGGCAACGAUGCAGAGCCGACCCGGGAGAGUGAUCGGCCACCCUGGAACUGGAACACGGUCCAGACUCCUGCGAGAGGCAGCAGUAGGGAAUCUUCCGCAGUGGGCGAGAGCCUGACGGAGCGACGCCACGUGAGUGAUGAAGGUCUUCGGAUCGUAAAACUCUGUUAUUAGGGAAGAACAUAUGUGUGAGUAGCUGUGCACAUCUUGACGGUACCUAAUCAGAAAGCCACGGCUAACUACGUG
This 497-nucleotide ribosomal RNA is filed under the name uncultured bacterium. RNAcentral describes it as "partial 16S ribosomal RNA". It matches the Rfam family "Bacterial small subunit ribosomal RNA", at positions 28 to 507 of the family's 1533-position model. The record is from RNAcentral.